GAGGGAGGAGGCAAGCGUUAGACGGAAUCAUUGGGCGUAAAGGGUACGUAGGCGGCUGGUCAAGUCUGGGGUCAAAGGCCACAGCUCAACUGUGGGAAGGCCCUGGAAACUGACCGGCUAGAGUGAGGUAGGGGUUGCGGGAAUUCCCGGUGUAGUGGUGAAAUGCGUAGAGAUCGGGACGAAUACCUGAGGCGUAAGCGCGCACCCGGGCCUCAACUGCCGCUGCGGUACGAAAGCUAGGGGAGCGAAUGGG
RNAcentral lists this ribosomal RNA (253 nucleotides) under uncultured bacterium. RNAcentral's name for it is "partial 16S ribosomal RNA". It matches the Rfam family "Bacterial small subunit ribosomal RNA", at positions 524 to 776 of the family's 1533-position model. The record is from RNAcentral.